UACGGAGGGGGCUAGCGUUGUUCGGAAUCACUGGGCGUAAAGGGCGCGUAGGCGGCCCUCUUAGUCGCGUGUGAAAUCCCUCGGCUCAACUGAGGAACUGCACAGGAAACUGCUUGGCUUGAGUUCGGGAGAGGGAAGCGGAAUUCCGGGUGUAGCGGUGAAAUGCGUAGAUAUCCGGAGGAACACCGGUGGCGAAGGCGGCUUCCUGGACCGACACUGACGCUGAGGCGCGAAAGCUAGGGGAGCAAACGGG
RNAcentral lists this ribosomal RNA (253 nucleotides) under uncultured bacterium. Its description in RNAcentral is "partial 16S ribosomal RNA". It matches the Rfam family "Bacterial small subunit ribosomal RNA", at positions 524 to 776 of the family's 1533-position model. The record is from RNAcentral.